This 253-nucleotide ribosomal RNA is filed under the name uncultured bacterium. RNAcentral's name for it is "partial 16S ribosomal RNA". It matches the Rfam family "Bacterial small subunit ribosomal RNA", at positions 524 to 776 of the family's 1533-position model. The record is from RNAcentral.
UACAGAGGGUGCGAGCGUUAAUCGGAAUUACUGGGCGUAAAGCGUGCGUAGACGGCUAUCUAAGUCGGGUGUGAAAGCCCCGGGCUCAACCUGGGAAUUGCAUUCGAGACUGAAUAGCUAGGGUACGGUAGAGGGAAGUGGAAUUUCCGGUGUAGCGGUGAAAUGCGUAGAUAUCUGGAGGAAUACCGGUGGCGAAGGCGGCAUCCUGGACCGAGAUUGACACUGAUGAGCGAAAGCUAGGGGAGCAAACGGG